UGUAGAUCAAUGGUUUCUAACAUAUAUAAAAUUGAGGGCCUACCAAUAAAUAGUAACCGCUUUUUUGGAGAAAAUGGGUUUACCUUCAAUUUCAAUUCUUGCACAAAUUUGGAGUCAAAUCCAGCAACAGAUCAUCAUAGAUGCUCCAAAGUAGUCCACAAUAUUGUGAUCCAAUAAGAGAUUGAAGGGUUUUUGGUAAAAAAAAUAUGUUUUCUUAUAUAAGGGAAUGUAACGUUUUGGCUAAUUUGCCAAAACAUAUUUCCAAAAUGUCCAUUUCAGUCGAAAUUCUGUGUUUCGGUAGAGUUGACCGUGGUUUCGCUUUGACCUUUGUCAAAAUAGGAACAAGCCGUCAAAAUUUCUGUAUAUUUCAACUUAAUUAUUUAACCUUAUUGAGAACUACCUCUAGUGGAAGUCUAACCUAUUCUUCCUGCAUGGCAUGCCUAUUAUGGCAUCUGAAAAUGUUAUGUUAUUUGACUCUUGAAUAUAUGGACACACACAGAUAACAAGGAUUUCUUAGGCAUCUAUUUAUUAGCCAUACUGGAUUACUGUCAUACUCGCAAGUCAUACAUAACCAUUUUUUUGUGGGUGAAUAACAAAUUCACUACCAAAGAGAGAGAAAUACAAGGAAAACUAUGACUCAACUAUAAGAACAACAAUACAAAGCUGAGCUCUGCCCUUAACUGGGAGAGGCAUGGGGCAGAUACAGAGAUAGGGGGAGACCCCAUGAAUCAACUAUAAGCCUAUUCCUAGGGAACUCGAUGCGUUGGGAGAAGGCCACAAAUAACUUGCUUCUGACAUCAAAGGUGAUGGUGUCCCAAAUCUACUGGAAAGAUUUGGAUUUGGAGGUCCAUCAUUUGAGAUUACGCUCCCUGCCAGAUAUGGUAAAUAGUGGUGCCAAAGCAAGCUUUUACCCACUACAUCACAGCUGGAGUUACUGGCACAGGAGAUGCCCACCCCAAUCCGUUCUCUAUCAAAGAGCAAGAUCCAUAUCCUCCAAGGCCAACAUUUGGCAAGAAGCCCUUUCCAAACAGACGAGGAGAAGGGACAAGUGUAGAAAAGAUGGUCCACAUCUUUAGGGGCAUUCUAGCAAAGGUAGCACAUUGGGAAGCAAGAAUCCAUCUGGGAAUAAGGACUGUAGGGUGGAUGUGUGUAAGCGCCCUCCAGACAUUAAAGCUGUAGCUGGGGAUGUCCCCUUGAACCAAACGAGCUUGUUACCAAGGGGGCACGGGACCCUGAGCUCUGAUGAGAUCCCAAGCAGACUUGGAGCUGAAGAGACGUGGAGGAAGCAGCCCAAAUAAAAACAUCUCCAUUGCUUAUGGACCUUCUGGAGAUGGCCGACAAAGCAUCCCAGACGACAAUAAAGGAGGGGGAGAGUGAGGACAGCGGAGCCCAAUCAUUGUGAGCAAGGAUGUCUGAGACCAUGGCCAACCUAUCAUAGCUCAAACUUUAUUUGCAUGAGUAGAUUACAAGAAGCUAACCCCCACAAUAUAUAUCCCCCAACAAUACAACUAGUAUCCAAAUUGCACUUAAAGAUGCUUUAGAACAAAGGAAAUAACAACCCACACGAGCUUAGAACAACCCCACAAUAAGAAAACCCAGAAAUUACAAUCAAGGAUCAAACCCUAGGAGAGAGAGAAGCCUGCGGCUAGGGUUCUAGGGAAUACCUGCAGUUGGACCUGUAGGUCUCUGUUGGUGCUGAAACUUGGGUCGAUGGGGGUCCUUACGGUGAGGAAGAAAACCCCCAAAGAUGAAUGAAUUCUUUAGAGAGAGAAAAUUGAGAAGAUUCUUCAAGAACAGCAUCAGGGCUUCUUGAGGGAGCCUCAAAUCAGGAUCGAGGGAUCCUUUAAUGGUCUAGAACAGACCCUUGAAAGGGGCUGUCUAAACAGACCUUGGAUCUGGUUGAGAAGAAGGAUCGAUUGGCUUCAAGACUUGACCUUUGCUGAUCGAUUCUGACAAUUCCAGGUUAGGACAGAUCAGGUUCUCUUUGAAUGAUAAUAGAAGUAAAACAGAAACAGCACAGGAAAUUGAAUACUUAAAAUAAAUUAGAAACAAGGGAAGUGGGAGAGGAAGUGGCUAUCUCAGCCUGGGCUUCUCACCUACAGCUAUCCCAGCUGCUCUAAGCAAUUGAUUGCAAACUUUCUUUAUUCAAAUCUGAAAUUAUGAGUACAUAGGCUCCUCUCUUUAUAGAGGGCAGAAUUUCAAUUAAAACACAACUAGGAGCUAGUUUCCAAAUAGGACUAAACACUCCUAGUACAACUAGGACUUCAAAUAGAACUAGGACUAGACUUCUAACUCCAAUAGGGAGUAGAACUAACAAACUAAGAGUCCAUAUAGGACAUUACAACCGAUGGGCCCAAUGGGCCUUUAUUGAAUUAAAACAACUUAAAUAAAAGCACUUUAAUCGAUGGGCCCAAUGGGACCUUAUUAGAUCACUUAAGUCCCCUUACUUAGGUGGGGUGAUAGUGACACUUUGGGCUGGGCCUUUCUUCCUGCGAUAGGUCCUCCCAAAGUGUGGAUCUACAUCACUGGCUCUGUCAUUGACUGAGUGGAUGAGAAGGGGUGCGAGUGGUCCAACCAAAUGCAAGUGGCAGUACCAUCAUCAAUCUGCAGAGGCAAGGAACCUGAAUUUCAGAAUCCUCCUCCAAACCCAGGAGGCAUCUAUAGAAGAGGGGGCAGUCCAAAUGGAGUCAUUUCGAAGAAGUUUAGAAUAGACCCAGUCAACCCAGAUGCUUUUCUUCUUGGUAGGUAGCUUCCAUAUCGGCUUGAGGUUACCACCAAUGUUGACGUCUUUUAUUCUUCUCAAACCAAAGGAAUCCUGAUGGCCUUGGAGAAAUGAAAGGAUGGUCCAUUUUUGAUUGAAUGCUUCUGAAAAGCACUUCAAGGGCUAAAGUGAUAAUGUAGGACAGCCUUGAAGAAUGCCUACUGAAGAGGCAAAGUAGCCGGCAAGGCUACCAUUGACAAGCACUGAAGAGUGUGCUGAAGAUAUGCAGUGGUAGAUCUAGUUGACAGGGGAGGACAUAUUGAGCAUGACAUUUGCAUUUUACAAUGAAGUCCCAUCUCUAGGAGUUAAGGCUUUGUGAAUAUCAAACUUCAUAAGAGCAGCAUGGGGCUGGUUCUUUCUUUCAAAGCCUCUGAGAAUCUCAGUGCAGAGGAGAAUGUUAUCUGAAAUGCUUCUUCCUGGGGAUUGCAGAAUGAAAAUCAGUCACUAGGGAGUCAACCACCUCUGACAUACCCUUUAUUGACUAGUCCUCAUGAACAUUAAUUUCUCUAAUGUCUUAUUUUUUCUUGAUAAUUCACAAAGAGAGUAUAUUAACAUGGAACAUAAGAUACACUGUGCUGUUCUCAAUAUCUUGUUCUCUGCUGUUGCUUUCAUGGUUAAGAAUGAAUUUUGUGCAUACCAGUAAUCCAAGGUUUUUUUUUUUAAAUAAAUAAAUUGUAUUGAUUCCACAUACAUAAUAACCCUGUGAAGAAUAUCACAAGAUCAUAUUUCUGAGGUAAUCCGUAAAUGUUGGAUUCUUAUUGAAUGCCUCUAAGUAAAUACAAACUUAUGUUUCCCUCCAAAAAAAA
This is a long non-coding RNA of Macadamia integrifolia, 3567 nucleotides long. RefSeq lists it as uncharacterized. NCBI's taxonomy places the organism in Eukaryota, Viridiplantae, Streptophyta, Magnoliopsida, Proteales, Proteaceae. The transcript has 2 exons. The record is from RefSeq and is a predicted model, not a curated record.